This 497-nucleotide ribosomal RNA is filed under the name uncultured bacterium. Its description in RNAcentral is "partial 16S ribosomal RNA". It matches the Rfam family "Bacterial small subunit ribosomal RNA", at positions 28 to 507 of the family's 1533-position model. The record is from RNAcentral.
GAUGAACGCUGGCGGCGUGCCUAAUACAUGCAAGUCGAGCGAACAGACGAGGAGCUUGCUCCUUUGACGUUAGCGGCGGACGGGCGAGUAACACGUAGGUAACCUACCUAUAAGACUGGGAUAACUUCGGGAAACCGGAGCUAAUACCGGAUAAUAUUUCGAACCGCAUGGUUCGAUAGUGAAAGAUGGCUUUGCUAUCACUUAUAGAUGGACCUGCGCCGUAUUAGCUAGUUGGUAAGGUAACGGCUUACCAAGGCAACGAUACGUAGCCGACCUGAGAGGGUGAUCGGCCACACUGGAACUGAGACACGGUCCAGACUCCUACGGGAGGCAGCAGUAGGGAAUCUUCCGCAAUGGGCGAAAGCCUGACGGAGCAACGCCGCGUGAGUGAUGAAGGUCUUCGGAUCGUAAAACUCUGUUAUUAGGGAAGAACAAACGUGUAAGUAACUGUGCACGUCUUGACGGUACCUAAUCAGAAAGCCACGGCUAACUACGUG